UUCAUUGUAUAGGAAAACUUCCAGUCAUUCCCUCUCUGACAAGCCUUUAUUCUAAGUUGCCAUAGUGAAAGAAUGUUACAGCAUCAUUUCUCAGACUGGUUCCCAAGAUUUCAGUGAAAGUGAAAACCACAAUCCAACCACAAAACCUUUAAUCAGUGACAAUUAGCUAGAUGAGGAUUGGUUGUUUACUGUUCUGAAAUAAAAAGGCUUCUGAUGGUAAGUAAAAGGACUCCAUGUAGAAUUAUUGAAUCUGAUAGUUACAAUGCUCAGGACUUCAUUUAGAGCUACUGUAAAUUUAUACCCACAAAAACCUCAUGAAGAUGAUGGCAUAGUUUAUGGGUUAGCACCCUAUACUUCACUGAAUAUUGAGAUAUAUCCUUUUUUCCAGAGGAUGCGCCAUUCCCUUCAGUCCGCUGUGAAUGAGCUGAAGUCUCACCUAAAGUCAUGACUUAACAGCUUCUUGUGAAUAAGGUCCUUAGAAGCUUGAUCUUGCUUUUCCUCUAUUUAUAAAAUUUAGUAGUAAAGGGAGAUGCUCUGCUUUGGGUUAACACAAGGAGUUUGACUGUUGGUCUUUUUAAGUAUUGUCUACUGCCUGAUGGAGGGAGGUAAGUAGAACUUCAGAAAUCUUGUUUCUUAUGUGUUUGUCUAUUGGCAAGCAUGACAGGUACCAUUUCUAUGGAUUCUUAGCAUCUAAAAUAAAUUUCUGCACAUCGACCUUGCUGUCAGUAACAAGCCUUUGUCCCAUCAUUUACCAGUGUCCACAAAAACUGCAGGAAUUCAGCCUCUCUGAGGUUGCUGUUCCUUUGCCACAUUCAGUUGAUGUGGAUUCACAUCUUCAAACUAUUGGUGAAGGACUGGCUGAAAGAAGGUAUCAGUAUCCUAAGGCUUAUUUAUUUAACGGACCAAGUUAGAAAGAAAUAUAAAUGUUGGGAUAAAAUUUUUCUGAUCAAGUGUCUGAGACCAUUUCUGGUCUAAGGUCUGGUGCAUGGGUGACAUGAUUAUCUUCUGCAGGUGUUCCUGAUUUAAACCAUGAGGUCUAUUAGUUGAUUGAAAAAAAAUCCAAGGCUUUCUGGAAUGUUCCACCAAUUUCCAAGAAGACUUGGAAGCACAUACUGGGAUAGUGACAUGGAACUACAGGCUGGAAAAUCCUUGGAUAAGACUGUGGGUCACUAACUUGUGUGUUCCCUUCUGCUGAAGCCCCCCAGCAGGGCUGGCACAAACACAGGUGUCGAGCUCUGGUAAGAGCUGUUCUGGCCACAGGCACUGAGACCACCUUUGGUGUCUCCUUCCCACUAAAGGCACACAAUUGCCUGGUGAGCAGAGCUCAGUGUAACUCCUGUAGGAAAUGCUCCUGCAGAGCCCACUGUAGCCUUUUUGGGCUGGAUAUUGAUGAGUCUUUUCUGUGUCAACUGGUCAAGUGCUGAACAUUAGAGGAAAGGGUUUUCCAGGGGGAACUAUGCUCAUAAGAGUAAUUUCCAGGACAUUAUAACGCUCAUAGGCUUAUCAACUAACCAGCUAAUGUCUAUGCUUUUAUGCUUGGCCUUUGAAUGGCAGAGUUUUAGAUUCACAGAGCACCAACAGUCCUCUAACAACAGAAGUGUAGUCAAUGAAAGGACUGAGAUUUUGCUCACUAUCCAAAUGGUUUAAGCAUUUUGCUUACCUGCAGUUACCAAUUUGUUGAGACUGGAACGACUCAAACAUAUAAAGCUUUUCUGCAAUA
Molecule: non-coding RNA, 1720 nt
Organism: Cyanistes caeruleus (blue tit)
Lineage: Eukaryota; Metazoa; Chordata; Aves; Passeriformes; Paridae
Source: RefSeq, a predicted model, not a curated record